Molecule: non-coding RNA, 1119 nt
Organism: Taeniopygia guttata (zebra finch)
Lineage: Eukaryota; Metazoa; Chordata; Aves; Passeriformes; Estrildidae
Source: RefSeq, a predicted model, not a curated record
GAUCUGGACUGUUUCUUUUCUUGUUCAUUUUACAGGUACACUGGAUCUGACUGUUCCAGCUGGAAAAAGACCUUAAGACUCAGAACAAAAACCAAAACGAGUGUAACCCUGCACUUGUUUGCAACAAAAUAAGGUCAGACGUGGGCCACUGAAGGAUAAAGAAACUCUUGAUGAAAGCAGUGAGAGUUACCCAAAUGCACCCAGAGCAGGUGGGUGUGAACUCCAGACACUUCUUGGUGUGAUAAAAUCCGGGAUGUGCAUCAUGCUCCUAAAUCCCCAAAGGCUGAGGCCACUGAUCCCCAAAGGCACUCCCUGAACUUUUGGAAUUUCUGUACAAGACUGACCUAAACUGCAUUUCCACUAAAAAAAGGCCCUUUGCACUUGUUUUGCUCUGCUCACCGUGUGGAUGGAGUUGGUGUCGUUGGAGAUCUCAGGAAUUUUCAGAUGGAGACUCUGCAAUACGUAUGUUGUCUGCAUCUAGCAUUAGGAAAGAGGAGUUGAGAUUACUCGGACAAGGAGUGCUGGGAGCAAGGUAUUUUUCAUUUUGUAACAAUUAACACAGAUUAUACCAGAGGUGAAAUGCUAACACAGCAAACUGACAACAAUUACAGUCAGAACAUUACAAGAUUUUUUAACCUUGUAGCUAUUUUUACUAAAAACACAAAGACUCAUUUUGUGUGCCUUUGAAAACAAUUACUGUGUUGUUUCUUUUGCCCAAAAUGUAUCUGAUAUCCUGAAUCAUCACCACAAGGCAGAACCUGAAAAUUAAAUUGAGGUCUAGAUCACUUAGCCUGACCUAUAUAAACAGCUGCAAGACAAAACACAGCACAAUAUUUAAGAUAUGUGAAUUUGUACAACUGCGAGUCUUAACUACAACUGUAAUGAUUUUAUUUUUUUUCUAUUAUUAGGGCAAAAUAUUAUUUGAGAGCAUUCCUUAGCAGUCAUUUCUCAUCUCUCAACUUCAAGGUAAGUUUCCUGUUUAUGAGAGAACACUCCAAAAAUGUUAAAUUAGAAAUUAUAUAAAGUAUGACUGUAACCAUUUGGAACUACUCACUUGAAAAUACACUGUCCAGUAAGGUAUUAAAGCCAGGAAGACAGGGAUAAUCUUGACAAGAGCUU